GACAGAGGGGCCAAGCGUUAGGCGGAAUCACUGGGCUUAAAGCGUGUGUAGGCGGUCUUGUAAGUACCUUGUGAAAUCCCACGGCUCAACCGUGGAACUGCUUGGUAUACUGCUUGUCUUGAGCCACUUAGGGGCUACCGGAACAAAUGGUGGAGCGGUGAAAUGCGUAGAUAUCGGAAGGAACACCGGUGGCGAAAGCGGCGCGCUGGACCUCUUCUGACGCUGAGGCGCGAAAGCCAGGGGAGCGAACAGG
RNAcentral lists this ribosomal RNA (253 nucleotides) under uncultured bacterium. Its description in RNAcentral is "partial 16S ribosomal RNA". It matches the Rfam family "Bacterial small subunit ribosomal RNA", at positions 524 to 776 of the family's 1533-position model. The record is from RNAcentral.